GCAGUUGCCAUGACUCUCCUCUCCGAGACAGACGCAGGUUAGAAUCUUUCCCGGAGGGUGAAGCACAAUGCUUUCCAGAAUCUCUAGUCUGACGUGUGCAGCAGAAGGAUGCCAGGCCUGAUGCCAUCGUAGCCACUGAUGCCCCACAGAAGAGUUGGAGUGAGGUUCCUGACUUACACUGUCAUGCUGUGUAACAUCUGUAGGAGGAAGGGUGCCACUCGUUUGUUCCUGGUCACCCAGAACUGAAAUAACCACACAGAAACUGUAUUAAUCAAAUCACUGCUUGGCCCAUUAGCUCUAACUUCUUAUUGGCUAACUCUUACAUCUCAAUUUAACCCAUUUCUUAUUAAUCUGUGUGUCGUCACAUGGCAGUGGCGUACCAGGUAAAAUUCCCAGGGUCUGUCUUGGCAGCUCCGUGGUGUCUCUCUGGCUCCACCCUUCCUUCUCCCAGCAUUCACUUCUGUCCUCCUGGCCUACCAAAGUUCUGCCCUAUCAACAGGCCAAGGCAGUUUCUUUAUUCAUCGUUGGCAAAUGACAGCACACAGGGGGGACUCCCACAUCACUGCUGCAGUCUGAGAAGGGAAGGAAGAUCAUGUUGGUGAUUCCCAGUUUCUUGGUGGACCCACUGCACAAACUUCCAGACCUUAGUGAGUCCUGUUUACUUUGGAACUGGCCCAAGACCACUGGAUGAAUGUUUGACAGUUUGUCCACACUGUAUCUCGAGACACAGAACUCAUCUUUGCCAGUAUGGUGGUCAAUCUAUUGAUGAAAUAAAGGGCCUGAGAACUGAGACAUCAGAAAAUUUCCCCUUUGGGGAAAAAAGACUCAUUACAAGAGCAUCUGAAGCCCGUCUUCAGAGAUGAGGAGGCGGGGGCACAGUGUGUUACUGCUCAGAGACUGGGACAGUUCAAACUUACCCUUAAAACUUAGAAGCAGCAAUGCAGGUGGACUACAGGAAAGGAAAAAGAGCUCACCCAUCACAGAAACCUCUUCUUGUCUUUUGAUAAGAAUGGAGUUAAGAGAAUUGUGAUUUGAAAAAUCACAUUUUUUUGUAUUUAUUGUUAAUUUCUGUGCUGAAAUUAUGGUAUUUAUCUGUUAAUGUUUGUGAGUGCUUUAGUUCGUUAUGAAGAUG
Myodes glareolus (Bank vole) is the source of this 1132-nucleotide long non-coding RNA. RefSeq lists it as uncharacterized. NCBI's taxonomy places the organism in Eukaryota, Metazoa, Chordata, Mammalia, Rodentia, Cricetidae. The record is from RefSeq and is a predicted model, not a curated record.